Molecule: RNA transcript, 1708 nt
Organism: Gossypium raimondii (Peruvian cotton)
Lineage: Eukaryota; Viridiplantae; Streptophyta; Magnoliopsida; Malvales; Malvaceae
Gene name: fumarate hydratase 1, mitochondrial
Exons: 11
Source: RefSeq, a predicted model, not a curated record
UUGAGGAGAAUUAGUAAGAGAUUUUUCUGAUGUAUUUAAAUUAUUCUAUCAAUGUGUAACUAAGCUUUCAUUAGAGAAAGUUUUAUAAGGAGAAUAAUCGUUUUAGAGUAUAGAAAUGAAGUUGCUAUUUGGAGACAAAAUGAAAUUUAAAUCACGAUAUUUGUAUAUUAAGAUAUAAUUAUCUCUCCCGAUAAAACCUAAAAGCACAAAAAAAGUUUUGAAUGAAAUUUUAGAGCCCAUCUUUAUUUUACCUUCUGCCAUCAGUUAGGCUGUGUUCUUCAUUGCGGCUGAGAUGAACUUUUAGCUAGAAAAGUACUUUUCUUUGAAAAGCAAUGAAGAACAUCCUUCAUUUGAUAGCAAAUUCUCAGCUUCUGAGAAGUACUUUUGAGCAGAUGAAAAGUAGAUUUUUUUAGCUUUUCAGCCAAAAAGUACUUUUGAGCUGGUUACUUUUACCUUUUUAGCCACACGACGCCCAGUACCUGCUGCUACGCUGCUCUCUGCUCUCUGCUCUCUGCUGGUUCCCUCUGCUGCUACGCUGGUUCUUUGCCCUCAUCUUGUUUUGGAUUGAACACAAAGAAAGGGUUUGAUGCAAAAAUUGCUGCUGCCGUAGCAGAUGAGAUAAACUUGCCAUUUGUCACAGCAGAAAAUAAGUUUGAAGCUUUGCUGCACAUGAUGCCUUUGUUGAAACUAGCGGAGCCCUAAACACUGUUGCUACGUCCCUGAUGAAGGUUGCAAAUGACAUACACUUACUGGGAAGUGGUCCCCGAUGUGGCCUUGGUGAGCUCAUUCUUCCUGAAAACGAGCCAGGCAGCAGUAUAAUGCCUGGGAAGGUAAACCCUACCCAGUGUGAGGCUAUUACUAUGGUCUGUGCCCAGGUAAUGGGUAACCAUGUUGCUAUCACAGUGGGCGGAUCCAAUGGCCACUCUGAAUUGAAUGUGUUCAAGCCAAUGAUUGCUAAUGCACUCCUGCAUUCAUUAAGAUUGCUGGGUGACGCAUCUGCUUCAUUUGAGAAGAACUGCGUGAGGGGAAUUCAAGCCAAUAGGGAAAGAAUUUCUAAAUUACUACAUGAGUCUCUAAUGCAUGUCACAUCUUUGAACCCGAAAAUUGGUUACGACAAUGCUGCAGCAGUUGCCAAGAAAGCACACAAGGAGGGGUCCACUUUGAAGGAAGCAGCAUUGAGCCUUGGUGUGCUCACAAGCGAAGAAUUUGACACUCUUGUGGUCCCUGAGAAAACGAUUGGCCCAUCUGACUGAAUUUUUAUUUUUUUGCUAGAGGAGACUUAAGCAGCAAUUGCUUAGAUUUUAAUUAAUUUUAAGACCAUUUUUCUCAGUCGGAUUAUGGAAAACAAUAUUAUUGAGGUUUCCCAUUUGCUUGGAAUUGUUCAUGCAGUUUAUGUAGUGAAAAAAAAGAAUAGUCAUGGAUUGACUAAUGAGGGGAAAACCUAUUGAAGUAAAGUUGAAGGCAAAAUAAAAGAGAUGGCAUCAAGUUUUGUACUGCAAAAUGUGUAGAUUUGCUCUUUAACACCAAAAAGGAGAAGAAAGAAAAAAGCUUUCAUUUGGAGAGAUGCAAAAUGAUGACGUUCAGUGAUGAAGCUAGUAAGUUCGAUUUUUGGAAGAAUUUUUCUACUAUUGCCACCGUAGUCAUUAUAAUAUGAGGUUUAUGUUUUCUAUGUUAUGUUAAUAUCUAAUAUGAGUUAUAUAUUCAAAUA